RNAcentral lists this ribosomal RNA (365 nucleotides) under uncultured bacterium. RNAcentral's name for it is "bacterial SSU rRNA". It matches the Rfam family "Bacterial small subunit ribosomal RNA", at positions 29 to 418 of the family's 1533-position model. The record is from RNAcentral.
AACGAACGCUGGCGGCAGGCUUAAUACAUGCAAGUCGAACGGGCGCAGCAAUGCGUCAGUGGCAGACGGGUGAGUAACACGUGGGAACCUUCCUCGUUGUACGGAACAACUCAGGGGAAACUUGAGCUAAUACCGUAUAAGUCCGAGAGGAGAAAGAUUUAUCGCAAUGAGACGGGCCCGCGUCGGAUUAGGUAGUUGGUGAGGUAACGGCUCACCAAGCCAACGAUCCGUAGCUGAUCUGAGAGGAUGAUCAGCCACACUGGGACUGAGACACGGCCCAGACUCCUACGGGAGGCAGCAGUAGGGAAUCUUGGACAAUGGGCGCAAGCCUGAUCCAGCCAUGCCGCGUGAGUGAAGAAGGCCUU